Molecule: ribosomal RNA, 370 nt
Filed under: uncultured eukaryote
Lineage: Eukaryota
Description: partial 18S ribosomal RNA
Rfam family: Eukaryotic small subunit ribosomal RNA
Source: RNAcentral
CAAUAGCGUAUAUUAAAGUUGUUGCAGUUAAAAAGCUCGUAGUUGGACCUUGGACCUGGACAGGCGGUCCGCCUCACGGCGUGUACUGUCUUGCUGGGUCUUUCCUCUUGGUGAUCUGUUGUUUCGGCAGCAGGGAACCAGGACUUUUACUUUGAAAAAAUUAGAGUGUUCAAAGCAGGCUCGACGCCGGAAUAUAUUAGCAUGGAAUAAUAAAAUAGGACGUGCGGUUCUAUUUUGUUGGUUUUUGGAAUCGCCGUAAUGAUUAAUAGGGACAGUCGGGGGCAUUAGUACUCACAUGCUAGAGGUGAAAUUCCUGGAUUUUGUGAAGACUAACUUCUGCGAAAGCAUUUGCCAAGGAUGUUUUCAUUAA